Xiphophorus couchianus (Monterrey platyfish) is the source of this 595-nucleotide long non-coding RNA. RefSeq lists it as uncharacterized. The transcript is spliced from 2 exons. NCBI's taxonomy places the organism in Eukaryota, Metazoa, Chordata, Actinopteri, Cyprinodontiformes, Poeciliidae. The record is from RefSeq and is a predicted model, not a curated record.
GCUAUUUUUCAGCUAUAUAUUUAUAUAUAUAUACUGUAUAUAUAGCUGAAAAAUACAGGAACGUGCAACAAUAUGUAUAUAUAUAAAUGUUAAUCUCUGGGAACUUUUCUAUUAUCCAUUCUUCAAAAUGGGAAAGAAAAUAGAUCAUGCCACUGGCUAAUCUGGCCUUUGACAUAGAAGGAGAGGAUGCUCAUAAAACAUAAAACCCAAUAAUCAGUCAAUUUGGCUCUCUUUCUGUUAAGUACUUGGCUCUGGAACCACAGGUGUCAAAUCCCAAUCCCCAAAGAUCUGAUUCAGACGUGAUGAGCCUGGGACAUAUUUCAACUGACCUGCAAGGACUGAAAUUUGACACCCAGAUCCUAAACUAAGAGAAUGAAACAAAGGAUUGGCUGCACUUUUAGCAUGUCUAAUUAAUAUUUGCAAAAUUUUUUAACCAGGAGUUUGCUACCAUUUUCCAGUUUAUAAAUUUAUUUAUCAAUGCUAUCACGUUUUUUAAAGAGUUUUCAGCUGAAAACUUGUCAUAUAGUUGUUGAUCAACGUAAGGGUUAUUAUAAUUGGCGCCUGUGAAACUAAUAAACGCAUUAAUCUAGUUGUA